CUACGGGAGGCUCCAGUGGGGAAUAUUGCACAAUGGGCGCAAGCCUGAUGCAGCCAUGCCGCGUGUAUGAAGAAGGCCUUCGGGUUGUAAAGUACCUUCAGCGGGGAGGAAGGGAGUAAAGUUAAUACCUUUGCUCAUUGACGUUACCCGCAGAAGAAGCACCGGCUAACUCCGUGCCAGCAGCCGCGGUAAUACGGAGGGUGCAAGCGUUAAUCGGAAUUACUGGGCGUAAAGCGCACGCAGGCGGGUUGUUAAGUCAGAUGUGAAAUCCCCGGGCUCAACCUGGGAACUGCAUCUGAUACUGGCAAGCUUGAGUGUCGUAGAGGGGGGUAGAAUUCCAGGUGUAGCGGUGAAAUGCGUAGAGAUCUGGAGGAAUACCGGUGGCGAAGGCGGCCCCCUGGACGAAGACUGACGCUCAGGUGCGAAAGCGUGGGGAGCAAACAGGAUUAGAUACCCGGGUAGUC
Molecule: ribosomal RNA, 464 nt
Filed under: uncultured bacterium
Lineage: Bacteria
Description: partial 16S ribosomal RNA
Rfam family: Bacterial small subunit ribosomal RNA
Source: RNAcentral